AUUGAACGCUGGCGGCAGGCCUAACACAUGCAAGUCGAGCGGAUGAAGGGAGCUUGCUCCUGGAUUCAGCGGCGGACGGGUGAGUAAUGCCUAGGAAUCUGCCUGGUAGUGGGGGAUAACGUCCGGAAACGGGCGCUAAUACCGCAUACGUCCUGAGGGAGAAAGUGGGGGAUCUUCGGACCUCACGCUAUCAGAUGAGCCUAGGUCGGAUUAGCUAGUUGGUGGGGUAAAGGCCUACCAAGGCGACGAUCCGUAACUGGUCUGAGAGGAUGAUCAGUUAGACGGGAACUGAGAAACAGUACCGACUCCUACGGGAGGCAGCAGUGCGGAAUAUUGGGCAAUGGGCGAGAGCCUGAUCCAGCCAAGCCGCGUGUGUGAAGAAGGUCUUCGGAUUGGAAAGCGCUUUAGGUUGGGAGGAAGUGCAGUACUUUAAUCCCUGGCUGUUUUGACGUUACCAACAGAAUAAGCACCGGCUAACUUCGUG
RNAcentral lists this ribosomal RNA (484 nucleotides) under uncultured bacterium. RNAcentral describes it as "partial 16S ribosomal RNA". It matches the Rfam family "Bacterial small subunit ribosomal RNA", at positions 30 to 507 of the family's 1533-position model. The record is from RNAcentral.